This 489-nucleotide ribosomal RNA is filed under the name uncultured bacterium. RNAcentral's name for it is "bacterial SSU rRNA". It matches the Rfam family "Bacterial small subunit ribosomal RNA", at positions 29 to 496 of the family's 1533-position model. The record is from RNAcentral.
AAUCAACGCUGGCGGCGUGCCUAACACAUGCAAGUCGAACGCGAAAGUCCCGCAAGGGAUAAGUAGAGUGGCAAACGGGUGAGUAACACGUGGGUGACCUGCCUUCGAGUGGGGGAUAACGUCCCGAAAGGGACGCUAAUACCGCAUGACAUCCUGCCUUUGAACAGGCGGAGAUCAAAGCUGGGGAUCGCAAGACCUAGCGCUUAAAGAGGGGCCCGCGUCUGAUUAGCUUAGNGGUGAGGUAACGGCUCACCAAGGCGACGAUCAGUAUCCGGCCUGAGAGGGCGGACGGACACACUGGGACUGAGACACGGCCCAGACUCCUACGGGAGGCAGCAGUGGGGAAUUGUUCGCAAUGGGCGCAAGCCUGACGACGCAACGCCGCGUGGAGGAUGAAGAUCUUCGGGUCGUAAACUCCUUUCGAUCGAGACGAACGGCUUCCGGGUGAACAAUCCGGAAGAGUGACGGUACCGAGAGAAGAACGCCCGG